RNAcentral lists this long non-coding RNA (875 nucleotides) under Nicotiana benthamiana. RNAcentral's name for it is "long non-coding RNA (NBEN_LNC003630)". Lineage: Eukaryota; Viridiplantae; Streptophyta; Magnoliopsida; Solanales; Solanaceae. The record is from RNAcentral.
CGGACUUAUUUUCAAGAAAAAGAAAACAAAAAAAAAGGGCCAAUGGAAUCAUGGCACAUCAUAAGAUUUCUUCCAACAAACCUUAUCCCAAUUCCAAAUUUCACAUGCACACAUGCACGGCAACAAAAGGAUUUUGGCGGAUUUCAUUUUUUUCCGGAGGACCACGAAGGCAUCUUCCUAGCUUCUUCUUUCUUACUACAAUAUACACACGCCCUGAUAUAUAGGGGGAAGCUGAAACGAAAAGGACGGACACAAAAAAUACAGAAGGGGGCGGGCAAAAUGACCUUGAGGCAAAAAAAGGAGCCGCAUCUUUCAUCUUCUUCACAACUCCAAGUCAUGAAACCCUAUGACCUUUCCUCCAUUUUUUCUUUAGCCAUGAGAGGCCACUGAAGCUUACCGUGGAAAUAGCCAUGUCAACCCACCUUGAAACAACCACGAAAAACUGUUAUUUUCCACCCAAAACAGCCUCAAAAUAACCCCCAAAAAACGCAGGUAACGGUCAUCAUCUUCACUAGGAGGAGCUAAGCUAACAGCAGCCAAAGCGACUCCUCUCUUCUUUCAUUUUGACACCAAAAAAAAAAUAUAUAGCAGCAAAAGACCUCUGAAAAAAUAGUUCAGACCUGCCCCUUUUUCCUCCCUAAACAGCAUAAAACCCGUUGAAAUAAGGUCAAAGUAAACUCAGCUUGAACAGCCGCAUUUGGAUUUUCCAUCGUCGGUCUGUUGGGAACAAAGGCAGAAGCUGAGAUAUACGAAAGAAUACUUUUUUACUGCUCAAUUUUCCUUACUUGAAAACAAACACCUACUGUCUUUUAUAGGCUUACAAUUUAACUGCUAAGUCUAAAAAAUAGCAACUAAUAGAUAAUGGAGAACAUGAG